AGGUUAAAGACUACAUGAGACUUUGACAGAUGGCGGGAAACCCUCAUCCACUGGUACGAACCCGGUAGAGGAAUGUCUGCAACUAAGCCGAGGGCCACUGGAUAAGGGUUGUUGAUGGUAAAACAGGUAGAGGAAUGUCUGCAACUAAGCCGAGGGCCACUGGAUAAGGGUUGUUGAUGGUAAAACAGGUAGAGGAAUGUCUGCGACUAAGCCGAGGGCCACUGGAUAAGGGUUGUUGAUGGUAAAACAGGUAGAGGAAUGUCUGCAACUAAGCCGAGGGCCACUGGAUAAGGGUUGUUGAUGGUAAAACAGGUAGAGGAAUGUCUGCAACUAAGCCGAGGGCCACUAGAUAAGGGUUGUUGAUGGUAAAACAGGUAGAGGAAUGUCUGCAACUAAGCCGAGGGCCACUAGAUAAGGGUUGUUGAUGGUAAAACAGGUAGAGGAAUGUCUGCAACUAAGCCGAGGGCCACUGGAUAAGGGUUGUUGAUGGUAAAACAGGUUAAAGACUACAUGAGACUUUGACAGAUGGCGGGAAACCCUCAUCCACUGGUACGAACCCGGUAGAGGAAUGUCUGCAACUAAGCCGAGGGCCACUAGAUAAGGGUUGUUGAUGGUAAAACAGGUAGAGGAAUGUCUGCAACUAAGCCGAGGGCCACUGGAUAAGGGUUGUUGAUGGUAAAACAGGUAGAGGAAUGUCUGCAACUAAGCCGAGGGCCACUGGAUAAGGGUUGUUGAUGGUAAAACAGGUAGAGGAAUGUCUGCAACUAAGCCGAGGGCCACUGGAUAAGGGUUGUUGAUGGUAAAACAGGUAGAGGAAUGUCUGCAACUAAGCCGAGGGCCACUGGAUAAGGGUUGUUGAUGGUAAAACAGGUUAAAGACUACAUGAGACUUUGACAGAUGGCGGGAAACCCUCAUCCACUGGUACGAACCCGGUAGAGGAAUGUCUGCAACUAAGCCGAGGGCCACUGGAUAAGGGUUGUUGAUGGUAAAA
This is a long non-coding RNA of Dreissena polymorpha, 991 nucleotides long. RefSeq lists it as uncharacterized. The transcript is spliced from 16 exons. The record is from RefSeq and is a predicted model, not a curated record. NCBI's taxonomy places the organism in Eukaryota, Metazoa, Mollusca, Bivalvia, Myida, Dreissenidae.